RNAcentral lists this long non-coding RNA (802 nucleotides) under Vigna radiata. RNAcentral's name for it is "long non-coding RNA (VRAD_LNC006756)". Lineage: Eukaryota; Viridiplantae; Streptophyta; Magnoliopsida; Fabales; Fabaceae. The record is from RNAcentral.
UGAGGAUGGAGAAUUAGUGGUGGGUGAGAUGAAUGGUGCUUAUUAUUUUUCCAAAAUAGAUUUGAAAAACAAUUAUCACCAAAUUAGGAUAAAAAGGGAGAUUAAUGGAAAACAAAACCCUAAACCCUAAACUAAUUUCAAUCUAGUAAACAAAAACGGGGCAAUGAAAAUCACUACUGGAAAUGGACAAUUCAUGUAACAUUAAAAAGUAAAGACAACAACAGGGUAAAAAAACAAUAUGAAACACAAAUUCAGAAUCACAAUCACGACAAUCUAAGGCUAAAAUCAUAAAGAAAGUGCAAGAAAAUAAAGUAAAAACAAAAUCAACUCAGAACAAUAAAGCUAUGACUAAAAGAAUCCUCAAAAUGAAAAUUCAGAUUAAGAACAAUUGAUGAAAACAAAAAAGGAAAGGAAACAAAAUCAAAAAGCAAUAUUGGAACUCAAAUUCAACACAGAAUCUAUAACUAACAGUGCUAGAAAUGUAAACUAGUAUGCUGGAAUUAAAAGAACAAGUAGAAACACAAAUUAAAUCAAUAAAACCGAAAUUGAGUCAAUGUCUCUUCGUUCGGUCCUCUCUCGGAGCUUCGUCCAUCAAGAACUUUAUUAACAACUGGAAAUGAGAAUAAAAAAUACCAGAAUAUUCAGAGAACCCAAAGUCUUUCACCUAAUGAGAUUCUCUAAGAACUCUAGUGCAGAUAGUAGUGUUAUACCUCUACGAAAGCUUUAAAAAUCUAAAAAUAAGAAACUACUCAUAACCGACUCUAAAACUCACUUUCUAAGUGUAGUGUUUGUCACCCACUCC